Long non-coding RNA from Magnolia sinica, 393 nucleotides. RefSeq lists it as uncharacterized. The record is from RefSeq and is a predicted model, not a curated record. The transcript has 2 exons. NCBI's taxonomy places the organism in Eukaryota, Viridiplantae, Streptophyta, Magnoliopsida, Magnoliales, Magnoliaceae.
CUACUGUUGUUUUGCAUACUGUGAGAAAUUGAAGGUGUACUUCAUGUGUUUGAGAAAAUGUCGCACAGGCAUGAACUUGACUCGAACUGGCCCAAGCUACUGACCAAACCGAACUGAGUUGGCCAGUCAAGCUAAAGGACCAAGCCGAUUAUGCCAAACUCGACUCGGUUCAACUCGUGUACAGCUUUAUCAAGAACUAACCUUGAAAUCAGGGUAAGUUACAAACAAAACCAGGGACUGCCUGGUUUUCCUGACCCAGUGACCAGGCUCAUGAUCUGGCUGGAUUGAUAGUGACAAAUCUCAUUCUUAGCAAUUUCUCGGCCUGGAAGUUUCAGGCGAGAUUUUCAAUUUUGAGGUUUUUCUAAAGCUAUUGUAGAGAAAAUCUCACCAAAA